RNAcentral lists this transfer RNA (87 nucleotides) under Escherichia coli. Its description in RNAcentral is "tRNA-Leu". It matches the Rfam family "tRNA". From Rfam's summary of the family: Transfer RNA (tRNA) molecules are approximately 80 nucleotides in length. Their secondary structure includes four short double-helical elements and three loops (D, anti-codon, and T loops). Lineage: Bacteria; Pseudomonadati; Pseudomonadota; Gammaproteobacteria; Enterobacterales; Enterobacteriaceae. The record is from RNAcentral.
GCGAAGGUGGCGGAAUUGGUAGACGCGCUAGCUUCAGGUGUUAGUGUUCUUACGGACGUGGGGGUUCAAGUCCCCCCCCUCKCACCA